Molecule: ribosomal RNA, 254 nt
Filed under: uncultured bacterium
Lineage: Bacteria
Description: partial 16S ribosomal RNA
Rfam family: Bacterial small subunit ribosomal RNA
Source: RNAcentral
UACGAAGGGGGCUAGCGUUGCUCGGAAUUACUGGGCGUAAAGCGCACGUAGGCGGAUUGUUAAGUCGGGGGUGAAAUCCUGGAGCUCAACUCCAGAACUGCCUUCGAUACUGGCGAUCUCGAGUUCGGGAGAGGUGAGUGGAACUGCGAGUGUAGAGGUGAAAUUCGUAGAUAUUCGCAAGAACACCAGUGGCGAAGGCGGCUCACUGGCCCGAUACUGACGCUGAGGUGACGAAGCGAGGGGAGCAAACUGGG